This is a long non-coding RNA of Schistocerca serialis cubense, 357 nucleotides long. RefSeq lists it as uncharacterized. The transcript is spliced from 3 exons. Lineage: Eukaryota; Metazoa; Arthropoda; Insecta; Orthoptera; Acrididae. The record is from RefSeq and is a predicted model, not a curated record.
CAUUGCUUUAGCUGUGCCAACAUAUACGACUUUCUUACGCCAUAUUUCGUGGUGUAAUCGAUUACAUGCUGGAUUAUUUUGCACCAACAAUAGAGUUGGCCCGUUUGUUGAAAUAAUAGUCCAUUUUUGAGACCAGUACAAAGAAAAAGUGAGUAACACUACAAAGGACGUAAUGAUACUUAUCUGAAAUUGCAACUUGGAGAACCAACUAUGCAGGCAGCUGACUCCAAGGACACCAGUGCCUUUCAAGAUGACGGAAAUCCUCCCAGCUGCGCUCCAUUUCACUUCAAUAAAAAUAAUUAAUGCUGUUAUUAAGUCUUCUCUUAUUCCGAAUCACACAUAAUACAAAGCACUCAU